RNAcentral lists this ribosomal RNA (515 nucleotides) under uncultured bacterium. Its description in RNAcentral is "partial 16S ribosomal RNA". It matches the Rfam family "Bacterial small subunit ribosomal RNA", at positions 28 to 523 of the family's 1533-position model. The record is from RNAcentral.
GACGAACGCUGGCGGCGUGCCUAAUACAUGCAAGUCGAACGCUUCCUACCGGUGCUUGCACCGGGAAAGAAGAGUGGCGGACGGGUGAGUAACACGCGGGUAACCUACCUACAAGCGGGGGCUAACAUUCGGAAACGGAUGCUAAUACCGCAUAGAUCUUUUUGUCUCCUGGCAGAAAGAAGACAGACGGUUUCGGCUGUCACGUGUAGAUGGACCCGCGGCGCAUUAGUUAGUUGGUGAGGUAAUGGGUCACCAAGACGAUGAUGCGUAGCCGACCUGAGAGGGUGAUCGGCCACACUGGGACUGAGACACGGCCCAGACUCCUACGGGAGGCAGCAGUAGGGAAUCUUCCGCAAUGGACGAAAGUCUGACGGAGCAACGCCGCGUGAGUGAAGAAGGUUUUCGGAUCGUAAAACUCUGUUGUUAGAGAAGAACAAGGAUGAGAGUAACUGCUCGUCCCUUGACGGUAUCUAACCAGAAAGCCAUGGCUAACUACGUGCCAGCCGCCGCGGUAA